Molecule: long non-coding RNA, 1037 nt
Filed under: Podarcis lilfordi (Lilford's wall lizard)
Lineage: Eukaryota; Metazoa; Chordata; Lepidosauria; Squamata; Lacertidae
Source: RNAcentral
GUAGCACCAAAGUGACCUGCCCGGGCACAAGCCUGGUGUGUUGGCCUGUGAAUCUGAUUCAGAGGCUGAACCGGAGGAAUCCCAGCCUGCACAAGAGUCCCCGCCUCCAGAACCAGCUGAGCCGGGGCAGAGGCUUGAAUCUGAAGGGCUCUCACCUGUGCUGGAUCUUCAGGAGCAGACACCAGCUGAAUCUGCUCUGGCUCCGGAGGUGAUCGAGGACCCAUUGCCUGCAGGUGCUCCUCUCCCAACCCUGUCAUGGGAAGGUGAGGUUGCCUCUGGGUCCAGUAACCCUCCAGCCUCUCCUGAGCUGCAGAGGCUCAAGGCAGAGAGGCGGACGGAACUAAGCUCUCUCAGGCGGAGUGCUCGCCUUAAGGCCAGGGGAGGCGAGUCACCUGUGGGCCUGGACCGCCCCAGGCCUCAGAGGAGAUAAAGGCCAGUCAGCCCAGUCCCAGGUUGCGGGAGCAACAUUGUUGGUAGCCUGUUCCUGCCAGCACCCUGUCCUGCUCUUCUGCCAGAGUUCCUGACCACGCCUGACUCCCUACCUUGGACCCCACUUCUGCUUCGGACCACGCCACACGGUAACCGCCCGAGACCAGCACACCUGGCCAUAGUAUAUUUAAGCCCUAGCAACAAGACCACCCUCUCAGUUUCACUGAUGUGGUCCAAAGGAAAGCAGAGCAACACAUUUGGCACCAGCUUUGUGGAGGAGUUGUCAAAAGGAGGCAUACAACCAUCUUAGGGACUCCAGAUUUGGUAGGGCUUACUCCUUAGCUUUUCCUUCUCCUGAAGAUGUCCCACAAGGCAGCAGGUAUGGGUUUUUCCAUGGAGUUUCCUCCUGAAGCCUUUCUCACAGAUGUGUAUAGCUGCAAGGCAGUGGAAGUUUAGGGUCAGAGGUUUCCUUCUCCUAAGUGGACUACCUUCCAAGGUGGACCAGCCCCAUCUGCUCCUCACUACCCUCUACAGCACAUGCAGAUUUCAUUUUACAGAUUUGUAAGAAGCUGAACAUGGAUUAAAAGCCAUAUAAGGAAACUUAGUAG